CUACGGGCCGCACCAGUGGGGAAUAUUGGACAAUGGGCGCAAGCCUGAUCCAGCAAUGCCGCGUGAGUGAAGACGGCCUUAGGGUUGUAAAACUCUUUCGCUAGGGAAGAUAAUGACUGUACCUAGUAAAGAAGUCCCGGCUAACUCCGUGCCAGCAGCCGUGGUAAUACGGAGGGGACUAGCGUUGUUCGGAAUUACUGGGCGGAAAGAGUUCGUAGGCGGACUGACAAGUUAGAGGUGAAAUCCCAGGGCUCAACCCUGGAACUGCCUUUAAAACUGUCAGUCUAGAGACCGGAAGAGGUUAGGGGAAUACCUAGUGUAGAGGUGAAAUUCGUAGAUAUUAGGUGGAGCACCAGUGGCGAAGGCGCCUAACUGGUCCGGUACUGACGCUGAGGAACGAAGGCGUGGGGAGCAAACAGGAUUAGAUACCCCUGUAGUC
Molecule: ribosomal RNA, 439 nt
Filed under: uncultured bacterium
Lineage: Bacteria
Description: partial 16S ribosomal RNA
Rfam family: Bacterial small subunit ribosomal RNA
Source: RNAcentral